RNAcentral lists this ribosomal RNA (1391 nucleotides) under uncultured Bordetella sp. RNAcentral describes it as "partial 16S-23S ribosomal RNA intergenic spacer". It matches the Rfam family "Bacterial small subunit ribosomal RNA". The record is from RNAcentral. Lineage: Bacteria; Pseudomonadati; Pseudomonadota; Betaproteobacteria; Burkholderiales; Alcaligenaceae.
GGUUUGAUUAUGGCUCAGAUUGAACGCUGGCGGGAUGCUUUUUACUACAGCUGCAAGUCGAGCGGCAGCACGGACUUCGGUCUGGUGGCGAGUGGCGAACGGGUGAGUAAUGUAUCGGAACGUGCCUAGUAGCGGGGGAUAACUACGCGAAAGCGAGGCAACACGCCACCUCGGGUGCGAUCUUCGGCUCGAGAAAGCCAAUAGACGGCCGGAUAUCGGAUUAGCUAAAUGUAAACAUCGUAUGCGACGACCGUAGCUGGUUGAGAGGACAACUGUUACACUGGGACUGAGAUUACGCCCAUAGACCCUACUGAGGCGUAUGGGAAUUUUGACAAUUGGGGAAACCCGACCUGCCAUCAUCCCGCGGCGGCGAUAAGGCUUAAUGUAACACUUUGCAGGAGAAACGGCGCCGGGAUAUUCGCACCUGACGGUACUCCUGUAGAAUAAGGUAUACUGUCAACUACGGCCAGCGCCGGCAGUUACCGGUGCGGCAACGAAUUAUUGGCGUAGCAUGGCAGGCGGUUCCGGAAGAGGCGAACCCAGAGCGUAACUUUGAACGCAUUUUAAUCAUCGACAGAGCGUACUGAGGAGGGAAUCAUAGGCAGAAAUAUGUAGAUAUGCGGAGGUCACCCGAUGGCGAAGGCAACUCUGUUACCGACCCGUGCACGAAAGCAGCAGAUAAACAGAACAUUGUUCUUGUAGUUCCACGCCUUAAACGAUGUCAACUAGCUGUUGGGGCCUUCGGGCCUGGUAGCGCAGCUAACGCGUGAAGUUGACCGCCUGGGGAGUACGGUCGCAAGAUUAAAACUCAAAGGAAUUGACGGGACCCGCACAAGCGGUGGAUGAUGUGGAUUAAUUCGAUGCAACGCGAAAACCUUACCUACCCUGAUAUACCUGGAAUCCCGGAAGAGAUUUGGGAGUGCUCGCAAGAGAACCGGAACACAGGUGCUGCAUGGCUGUCGUCAGCUCGUGUCGAGAUGUUGGGUUAAGUCCCGCAACGAAAGGCAACCCCUGUCAUUAGUUGCUACGAAAGGGCACGACAGACUGCCGGUGACAAACCGGGAUGUUGCGGGGAUGACGCCGUCCUCACGGCCUCCAGGUAGGGCUUCACACGUCAAGUACAAUGGCCCGGACAGAGGGUCGCCAACCCGCGAGGGGGAGCCAAUCCCAGAAACCCGAUCGUAGUCCGGACGCAGUUCGCAACCUCGACUGCGUGAAGCUGUGGAAUCGCCAGUAAUCGCGACCAGCAUGUCGCGGUGAAUGCUGUUCCUGGCCCGUACAUAUAUCUGCCCGUCACACCAUGGGAGUGGGUUUUACCAGAAGUAGUUAACUCAACCGUAAGGAGGGCGAUUACCAUCAGAUUCAUGACUGGGGUGAAGUCGUAACACAGC